This 301-nucleotide ribosomal RNA is filed under the name uncultured bacterium. Its description in RNAcentral is "partial 16S ribosomal RNA". It matches the Rfam family "Bacterial small subunit ribosomal RNA", at positions 509 to 807 of the family's 1533-position model. The record is from RNAcentral.
CAGUCGCCGCGGUAAUACGGAGGGUGCAAGCGUUAAUCGGAAUUACUGGGCGUAAAGCGUGCGUAGGCGGUUCGUUAAGUCUGUUGUGAAAGCCCCGGGCUCAACCUGGGAACGGCAAUGGAUACUGGCGAGCUAGAGUGUGUCAGAGGAUGGUGGAAUUCCCGGUGUAGCGGUGAAAUGCGUAGAGAUCGGGAGGAACAUCAGUGGCGAAGGCGACUAUCUGGGCCAACACUGACACUGAUGCACGAAAGCUAGGGGAGCAAACAGGAUUAGAUACCCCCGUAGUCCCUGUCUCUUAUAC